This 465-nucleotide ribosomal RNA is filed under the name Vreelandella stevensii. RNAcentral's name for it is "partial 16S ribosomal RNA". It matches the Rfam family "Bacterial small subunit ribosomal RNA", at positions 338 to 795 of the family's 1533-position model. The record is from RNAcentral. Lineage: Bacteria; Pseudomonadati; Pseudomonadota; Gammaproteobacteria; Oceanospirillales; Halomonadaceae.
CCUACGGGCGGCAGCAGUGGGGAAUAUUGGACAAUGGGGGGAACCCUGAUCCAGCCAUGCCGCGUGUGUGAAGAAGGCCCUCGGGUUGUAAAGCACUUUCAGUGAGGAAGAACGCCUGGUGGUUAAUACCCAUCAGGAAAGACAUCACUCACGGAAGAAGCACCGGCUAACUCCGUGCCAGCAGCCGCGGUAAUACGGAGGGUGCGAGCGUUAAUCGGAAUUACUGGGUGUAAAGCGCGCGUAGGUGGCUUGAUAAGCCGGUUGUGAAAGCCCCGGGCUCAACCUGGGAACGGCAUCCGGAACUGUCAAGCUAGAGUGCAGGAGAGGAAGGUAGAAUUCCCGGUGUAGCGGUGAAAUGCGUAGAGAUCGGGAGGAAUACCAGUGGCGAAGGCGGCCUUCUGGACUGACACUGACACUGAGGUGCGAAAGCGUGGGUAGCAAACAGGAUUAGAUACCCUUGUAGUC